GCCGGGCAUGGUGGCAUGAGCCUGUAGUCCCAGCUACUCGGAGGCUGAGGCAGGAGAAUCGCUUGAACCCAGGAGGCAGAGGUUGCAGUGAGCCAAGAUCGUGCCACUGCACUCCAGCCUGGGUGACAAAGCGAGAUUCUGUCUCAA
Molecule: non-coding RNA, 147 nt
Filed under: Pan paniscus (pygmy chimpanzee)
Lineage: Eukaryota; Metazoa; Chordata; Mammalia; Primates; Hominidae
Also listed under: 1 other name
Source: Rfam by way of RNAcentral